Molecule: long non-coding RNA, 1106 nt
Organism: Rosa rugosa (rugosa rose)
Lineage: Eukaryota; Viridiplantae; Streptophyta; Magnoliopsida; Rosales; Rosaceae
Exons: 4
Source: RefSeq, a predicted model, not a curated record
CCUGGCUCUCUCCUCCUUCCUCUUCCGCUAUCUUUCCAUGCAUGGCCACCACCGCCUCCCUCUACUGUCUCUCCCUGAUUAACGACCUCCUCCCUCUCGCCGGCACCAUCACCUCUGCCUGCAAGCUCGCUCCCUCUCUCUCUCUCUCAGAUCUCAGAAGAUUGAAAGAAGAGGAACAAUCCUUCUCUCAAUCCGCCAUGAUCCACAUACCAGAGAGACCGCCAGCGAAGCGGCCAGAUUCUGAUCAGGUCCGACCAUGGAGCAGCUGGAGGGGGAAGCGUUCGAAGAUAUAGAAUUAGAAAGCAUCCCUGACCUUGAGCCUAAACGCACCGUUUCGUCAUCUUUGAAAUCUCAGACUCUCAGUUUUCGAAGUUGAAACUUCUAUUCAAAAUGUCCAGCGAUUCAAAUCUGUCGAAGCUUCACCGUCUGAUCGACGAUUCUCUCCGUCCUUACCCAGAACCAGAUGUUGUUUGGGUGACCAAAGAGAGAGAAAUUUGGGUUAGUCUCUCUCAGGUACUUCGGCAAGUAAAGCUUUGUAUUGGAGAAGUUGAUUCCGAUUAUGAUAAUAUUUGAGCGUGAGGUCCAAUUGAUGAAAAAUCUCUUGGAAGGCUAUAGGAAAGCUUUAAAGGCAACACAAAAGACAUUUGCUGAACAUAGAGCUCAUUGUCCACAGGCUGUUAAGCCACUCUGCAGGGAUAGAUGUUUCGGGAUCGGGGGGCCUUGUUUUAAGCACCACAGAAUUGGAAAAGCUACUCCUAAAGCAAGAAGAAGAAGAGAGGAUGAACAAGACUGGUGAUUGAAACGAUGAUUAAGGACUUUGAAGCUGGGUGGAUUAGCGAAUAUAAAACACACCAAAAGAGUGUUGAAUUAGCUAGUAGCAGGUUGAUGGAUGUUGAGAAGGAAGUGAAACUUCUCAAGGAAGGGCUUUUAAAACAGAGGCUUCCAGAAACACAAGAAUCUCCAAAUGAAUCAUGAGAUGCUUGGUAUGUGGAUUAAAGGGUCCAAGACCCAGAUACCCAAGAGCCUGGAAAGCCAAUAAGGAGAUUGGGACCAUUUCGAAAUCCCUCAAGCUUGUUGAGUGUGUAAGUUUCUCUUUUCUUUUUUUG